CGGGAGGCAGCAGUGGGGAAUUCUUGCCGAAGGCAGCAGUGGGGAAUCUUGCACAAUGGGCGAAAGCAUGACGUAUUCAUGCUGUGAAACUGAUGAAGGUCUUAGGAUUGUAAAAUUCUUUCUCCGGGGACGAUAAUGACGGUACCCGGAGAAGAAGCCCCGGCUAAUUUCGUGCCAGCAGCCGCGGUAAUACGAAGGGGGCAAGCGUUAUUGGGAAUUAUUGGGCGUAAAGGGCGGGUAGGGGGUUCGUUAAGUCAGGGGUGAAAUCCCGGGGUUCACCCUGGGAAUUGCCCUUAAUACUGCCGAUCUGGAGUAUGAGAGAGGUAGGGGGAAUUCCGAGUGUAGAGGUGAAAUUCGUAGAUAUUGGGAGGAACACCAGUGGGGAAGGCGCCACCCUGGCUCAUUACUACCGUUGAGGCGGAAAAGCGUGGGGAGCAACCAGGAUUAGAUACCCUGGUAGUCCACCCCGUAAACGA
Molecule: ribosomal RNA, 476 nt
Filed under: uncultured bacterium
Lineage: Bacteria
Description: bacterial SSU rRNA
Rfam family: Bacterial small subunit ribosomal RNA
Source: RNAcentral